GUGAGAAGUGAGUUGCGCCCUGGACUGGUCACCGGUCACUGUCAGGUCACAUCGAGACACAAAGUGGACUGUUCGCCAGUUCGUGACAAAGAAACAAACCGCCAUUUACACCAAAGGCCGAUUUCCGGUCUUCAUCCGGUGGUAUUGCCUUGACUUGCGCGGUUUUGUUUGUUCCCCGUUACGAGCAAUCGCUUUCUUCUUGAGACGUGAGUGCGUCUCAGACCCCCGCCGCGAGAUGGCGCCAGCAACCUUCCCCACCACCAAGUUGCGGUGGUUUCCUUGCACCGAAGGACAAGAUCAAUUCGUGGCGCUCGUCAGCUAUUCAUAGGUUUUGCCAAUCAACACAAGGGAAGGGGGGGGGGUGGGUGCGUCGUUUUCCGUUUAUCCAGGCGACGUGGAUAGAAAAUGUUUGGCCCGUAUGCUUGUUUUUUAAUGUUUUGAUUUCGUGUUUGUCGACAAUACAAUGUUGAG
Hippocampus comes (tiger tail seahorse) is the source of this 471-nucleotide long non-coding RNA. RefSeq lists it as uncharacterized. The record is from RefSeq and is a predicted model, not a curated record. Lineage: Eukaryota; Metazoa; Chordata; Actinopteri; Syngnathiformes; Syngnathidae. The transcript has 2 exons.